ACUUCGAGUAACACGGCGUACGAUCUAACCGUGAACGAUCACCGGAAGAAUUUGGGAAUGUAAACAACGAAGAGUCCAGGCAUCGAAAGACCGUAUUUCUUCACCUUGUUUGCAUGAUUUAACCGAUUCUUACUUGUGUAAAAGUGUAAUAACAUGUUUUUCUGUUAAAUAUGCUCUGUUCGUUUGGAUAAUUCCACAGGAACCGUCAUUAGCGACUUGAAUAGAUGAUGUGCGAGAUCAUAGAAUGGAUUUGCCUGCACUCAUGCGUCAUUACAGUAUAAGGGACUUUAAUCUAAAAAGAAACCCUGCACAUUUGCAGCUGUUCAGAAUGCAGUUCAUGCCAUAUGCUGUUAGAGUAAAUGAUGAAAGAUGUUCAAACCAGUGUCAAAAGAGUCCCAAGUCUGAAAUCAUGGUGCUCAAGAGAUCAGCAUUUGUUUUCUGUACAUUGUUGACAUUUGUGGAACUGUUUGGUUUAUGACCAUCUCUCUGACAUUUGAAUUUCAAUUUGAGCGACGGAUAAGAAAGCCAAAUUAUAUGUAUGUAAAACAUAAUACAACUGUAAUAAAUCAUUGAUAAACUUAAACAAAGUCCAUGUACAUGUAUCUGUGAUCUUUGAAUUGAAAUUCAUAAAUGCUGUACAUGGAUACUUUAAAUGACUUUGUGUCAUGGUAAUGGAAUAUUCAAUUGUUUAACAUUGUU
Molecule: long non-coding RNA, 699 nt
Organism: Saccostrea cuccullata (small rock oyster)
Lineage: Eukaryota; Metazoa; Mollusca; Bivalvia; Ostreida; Ostreidae
Exons: 3
Source: RefSeq, a predicted model, not a curated record